Equus caballus (horse) is the source of this 2320-nucleotide long non-coding RNA. Lineage: Eukaryota; Metazoa; Chordata; Mammalia; Perissodactyla; Equidae. The record is from Ensembl.
AACUAGAAGUAUGGAAAGUUUUUGCUUCCUGUUUUAUCCAUUUCUAUAUUGUUGAGCUUUUUAAAAGCAAGUGUAAAUUACUUUUAUAAUUGGAUGAAAAAAGCAAUAAGAUAUGCAUGGCUUGAUGAGAGGUAUGUAGGUCCGCACCCGACAUCCGAACCCUCAAACCCCCGGGCCGCUGAAGCAGAGCACACAAACUUAGCCACUACACUACCAGGCCAGUCCCUGAGCUUUUAAAAUUGAAGAAGGACAACAAAAAUCCAUUUUCCCAGUGGCAGACAGGCAGAGUAGGUGGCCACAAAGGCUGUCCCUGCCCAGAUCCUGGGAUUAUUGGGCAGGAGCUUUCCAGGGUGGAAAGGAGAAAAGUCAGCUUCUCCCAGGACCGCAGAGUACAUGAGGGCUAUCCUAUUGGCAGAAUGUGGCUCACCCACAACCCAAAGGGCCUUCUCCUUCUGCUAUAGAUGAAUUAAUGAACUUAAUAAAGUUGAGUGAAACUCUUCAGCUCAAUCUAGAGAUAGUCUAUUUACAUAUUUACAUAUGAAAAGAGGGGGCAGAGGCAGGUAAAUGAUGAGAGGUGAGGUGUGCAGCCAAGGGAGGGGUUGGAUGCGGGAAGAACUAGAGGCCAAACUGGGAAAGGUGGAGGUGGCCCGGGUCAAUUCCAGAGACUCAUUUACCUGCUGUCCAUCAUAGGUUCGUGUGGGCGCUUGGGGCUUUUUUAAAGGAACUUGAAUGGGUUGGGAAAUUGAAAUUCUCACUGGGAUUAUUAUUAUUUUUGAAGUGUUUCCCUUUGGAUCCUUGCUUUCUCGAUAGGAACAUGCUAAAUAUUAAAAGAGCCAGUUGUCAUUUCUUUCAAUACCACAGGAGAUUUCAAGGGGGGGGGAAAUUAACCUUGCUGUGUAGGCAACUUUACAAGAAUGCCUCAAUUUCACAUGUUGUGGGAUAGCUGUAUUAAUCUGGCAUAGAUAGAAAGCAAUUUCUAUUAAUACAGUCUUUUGUCUUUAUUUGCAGUGGGCAGUUCACCAAUAACGCAUUUGAGAAAAUUGCUCACCAACAGCAUUAGAAUUGAGUGAAUUUCGCCAUAUUACUUUUUCAAGCCUCUGACAACUUGACAGGCAGAUUCUUUUAGAGCAAGAAACGUGCAAGGAUAAAGUACAAGAUUAUGGAAAGACAAACUUUCUUGCUUCUUUCUGAUGACAAAAAGCCAAUCAAGCCCAGGUGACUGUUUGCUGAACACGUGUGGGCUGCUUCACGCCGGAGCAGCACAGCUGGGCUGGACAGAGAGGGGAACCACACCACAUGGAAGCCUGGCUCCUCCCUCCCACCCACACACAGCAUAGAUGCAGCCUAUCGGUCUCCUUCUACAAAAUGAGAAAAAAGUUCAUUGUAUAUUUGCGUGGUGCCAAAGGAUCACUCUACAAAUGACUUGCCAGUUAUAAGGGGGAGAACAGGACUUUACAAUGGGGGAAUCUGGAGGCCACCACUCAAACCCCGUGACCAAUUUCGGCGUCACCUAUAGUGAGACACUAGACAAUAUGUACUUCCUGAUACGAUGCCAUGUGAAGUACAGGUCUUUAUCUGUGAAGCAGUGCUGCCAAAAUGUGUAAUCUACAUCUAAGCAAGCCUUCCAUGUCGACAUUUCGGUUUAUGGGAAAUACUGGUGAUUAAGGGACACGUUAAGUGAUACCACGAGGAAAUCUAGAAGUUGGGAUGUUCUACUAGGCAACUGGCCCAGACUUCUCAACAAGCCAAAGUCAUGUAAAGAAAGAAGGAGUGGGAAAGGGGGCUGUUUUAGAUUAAAAGUGCUUGAGAUCCAUAACAGCAAAAUGCAAUGUGUGUUCCCUCUUUGCAUCCUGGUUUGAACAAACCAGAUAUGAAAGCAAUUGUGGAGAAAAGUAGGUAUUAGAUGGUAAUAAAAGUUACGGAAAUUUUGUUAGGUCUGUUACAAAGGAGAAUUUUUUUUAGCAGAAAGAUAAUUUUUUUAUUGAUGUAUAGUUGACAAGCAAUAUUAUAUUAGUUUCAGGUGUACAAUAUAGUGAUUCAACAUUUAUGAAAUGAUCACCACACGUCUAGUAACCAUCUGUCACAUACAAAGUUAUUACAAUGUUAUUGACUAUAUUCCCCAUGCUGUACCUUACAUCCCCAUGAUUUAUUUAUUUUAUAACUGGAAGUUUGUACCUCUUAAUCCCCUUCACCUAUUUCGCCCAUCCCCCCAAGAAUGUUUUUAUUUAUUGGAGAUGAAUGUUUGUUGUGCUGUUCUUUCUACUUUUCAAGGUAUUUUAAAUAUCUCAUUAAAAAGAUAUUCUGGGAAUGGAGUAGAGAC